Molecule: non-coding RNA, 265 nt
Organism: Caldalkalibacillus thermarum TA2.A1
Lineage: Bacteria; Bacillati; Bacillota; Bacilli; Caryophanales; Bacillaceae
Rfam family: Bacterial large signal recognition particle RNA
About the family: The signal recognition particle (SRP) is a universally conserved ribonucleoprotein involved in the co-translational targeting of proteins to membranes. Archaeal SRP consists of a 7S RNA and homologues of the eukaryotic SRP19 and SRP54 proteins.
Source: Rfam
CUGUGCUAGACGGGGAGGUAGCGGUGCCCUGUAACCCGCAAUCCGCUAUAGCGGGGUCGAUGCCUAUCUGAGGUUUGCACUAUGUGAGGUCUGGCUCAUGUGCGCGGCGUUGACGAAAGGGUCCUAUGCAACGGAAGCCCAUGAACCCCGUCAGGUCCGGAAGGAAGCAGCGGUAAGUGGGUCUCUCCGUGUGUUGUAGGGUAGCCUUUUCCGAGCUGGCGGCAUGAGUACGCUCAGGUAGUGCUUAUCGAGGAUAGGUGCACAG